UGCUUCUUCAUAUCUAGCAACACUGCCAAACAAUUGUUGCAUUAGUUCUUUGAGCAGUCCAACUGACUAUGGUUCCAAAAUAAAAUACGAUGACUCUUCAACUAAACAGCUACUCCUCAAAGUCAAUACAUUUUCCCGAUUAAUAAAAAAUAUGUAGCAUUGAAUACAAGAUGAAGCAUCAAGUACACAUCAAACAUUGUGAAUUAUGCAGUCUUGCCUAUUGACAAACAUACAUGUCCCCCCAAUUCAUACUUGUAAGCAAGACCAAUCAUGCACACAACUCCCAAUGUUAGUCCCAUUCUCUGCUAGACAACUGUUGAUAUUAUUACACAGGAUAGCAGGAACCUAAAUGUGUUGUCCUGCGGUCAUAACUAUUACUCAAAAUUUAAACUCACAUACUUAUGAAACAUUUUCAAACAAAUACAUGCAUAAGAAUGAGAUUUCAAACUCAGUCACUAAGAUCUUUCAUUGGCUAAAUUCCUACAGCUUCUUUUGCAAAGUGUAUGGAGCUCUAAUUGAAGAAAACUUUUUUCCCAAAAGAAAAAAUAUGGUUCCCGCUCCCUUGUAUAAUAUUAACUCUAUUUCUCACAAUUUAGACUCACAUACUUGUGAAACAUUUUGCAAACCAAUA
This 631-nucleotide unclassified non-coding RNA is filed under the name Hevea brasiliensis (rubber tree). The record is from RNAcentral. Lineage: Eukaryota; Viridiplantae; Streptophyta; Magnoliopsida; Malpighiales; Euphorbiaceae.